RNAcentral lists this long non-coding RNA (587 nucleotides) under Medicago truncatula (barrel medic). Its description in RNAcentral is "lncRNA gene25344". Lineage: Eukaryota; Viridiplantae; Streptophyta; Magnoliopsida; Fabales; Fabaceae. The record is from RNAcentral.
CCAUAAGUGAGGAAUUUUUUUUAUUAAAAAACAAUACAUUUCUAUAUGUUGCAAGCUUAAGAGAAAAAGAUAUGGCUGAAAUUAUUAAGUUUAUUUACUUAAUGAUCAUUUUUAUUUCCUUAUUUCAUAACGUAACCGGCAAGAGGACAGGAUAAGAAGUGCAAAGAUAAUUCAGAUUGUUUACUAUAUUUUUGUGUAUCUCCUUAUGUUCCAAAGUGCAUUGGUUUUAAAUGUAGAUGUCGUCCAUUAAGCCUAUCUUUAGAUUGAUGAGAUAUGAUGGAAUGAAAUGAUAUAUAAUAAGAUUCUAUUGUAUGCAUUGAUGAAAUGUAAAUGAAAUGGAAUGAAAUACAAUGGAACCAAUUUCAUUCAAUAUUACUCGAUCUUUCAAUUUUUCGUCUCACUCAAUUUAAGGUGUAUCUAGUGGAAUGAAACUUAAGUCUUGAAAUUCAAAUACAUGGAUACUUAUUUUAUUUGUCUCUUCCUCUACUAAGAUACUUAUCUCUCACGUUCUUUCUCCACCUUCUUCCUACCGAUUGCUCAUUUCACUUUCUUGUUCUUCACAAUCAUAGUAGAUCUUCCUUGCUAAG